AUUGAACGCUGGCGGCAUGCCUUACACAUGCAAGUCGAACGGCAGCAUGGAGAGCUUGCUCUCUGAUGGCGAGUGGCGAACGGGUGAGUAAUGCAUCGGAACGUACCGUGUAAUGGGGAUAACGUAGCGAAAGUUACGCUAAUACCGCCUACGACCUGAGGGUGAAAGCAGGGGAUCGCAAGACCUUGCGUUAUACGAGCGGCCGAUGUCAGAUUAGCUAGUUGGUGAGGUAAAGGCUCACCAAGGCGACGAUCUGUAGCGGGUCUGAGAGGAUGAGCCGCCAGCCGAGGACUGAGACACGGCCCAGCCUCCUACGGGAGGCAGCAGUGGGGAAUUUUGGACAAUGGGGGCAACCCUGAUCCAGCCAUGCCGCGUGAGUGAAGAAGGCCUUCGGGUUGUAAAGCUCUUUCGGCCGGGAAGAAAUCGCACAGGCUAAUACUCUGUGUGGAUGACGGUACCGGCAUAAGAAGCACCGGCUAACUACGUGCCAGCCGCCGCCGUAA
RNAcentral lists this ribosomal RNA (503 nucleotides) under uncultured bacterium. RNAcentral describes it as "partial 16S ribosomal RNA". It matches the Rfam family "Bacterial small subunit ribosomal RNA", at positions 30 to 523 of the family's 1533-position model. The record is from RNAcentral.